This 253-nucleotide ribosomal RNA is filed under the name uncultured bacterium. Its description in RNAcentral is "partial 16S ribosomal RNA". It matches the Rfam family "Bacterial small subunit ribosomal RNA", at positions 524 to 776 of the family's 1533-position model. The record is from RNAcentral.
UACGGGGGGGGCAAGCGUUGUUCGGAAUUACUGGGCGUAAAGGGUUUGUAGGUGGCUUGCUAAGUCAGACGUGAAAUCCCUCAGCUUAACUGGGGAACUGCGUCUGAGACUGGCAAGCUCGAGUGCAGGAGAGGAACGCGGAAUCCCAGGUGUAGCGGUGAAAUGCGUAGAUAUCUAUCGGAAUGCCGAAAGUGAAGACAGCCCGCUGGGGCUUUCCUGACGCUGAGGCACGAAAGCGUGGGGAGCAAACGGG